GCGCCCUUGGUGUAGCGGUAACACACAAUCUACUUCUCUGCGUGACGAAUAUAUGAGAUUGGGUCCGGGGUUCGACUCCCCGUGGGCGCA
Non-coding RNA from Mycena leptocephala, 90 nucleotides. The record is from the annotation of a GenBank genome assembly. Lineage: Eukaryota; Fungi; Basidiomycota; Agaricomycetes; Agaricales; Mycenaceae.